Molecule: long non-coding RNA, 406 nt
Filed under: Rattus norvegicus (Norway rat)
Lineage: Eukaryota; Metazoa; Chordata; Mammalia; Rodentia; Muridae
Description: long non-coding RNA NONRATT007718
Source: RNAcentral
CACUCAUUCAUCCAUCCAUUCAUUCAAUUUAUUCAUUCAUCCAUCCAUCCACCCAUUUACCCAUUCAUUCACUCAUUCGUCCAUCCAUUCAUCCAUUCAUUUACAGAGCUCCUAUACUGUUCCAGGGGUCUCGUUAAGCAAUUUUCUGCCACCAGGAUGACGGAAUGCCUUAAACAACUUACAAGGGGGAAAAGUUCGUUUUGGCUUUGGCUUCAGUUGUCCCUUGCUGCUUUGGCCUGCACAGCUGGAACACCCUGUUGACCAAACACUCUCAUCUCAUGGAGUCUAAGAAAAUAGAAGGGGUGGGUGGGGAGGACUGGGCUGGAGACCCAACAUCUCUUCCAAGGUCAUACCUCAAAGCACGUAACUAUCCCACUAGGCCCUGCUUCUUCCUGAAGGUUCCAAU